Molecule: ribosomal RNA, 1410 nt
Filed under: uncultured organism
Description: 16S ribosomal RNA
Rfam family: Bacterial small subunit ribosomal RNA
Source: RNAcentral
GAGCGGCGAACGGGUGAGUAACACGUAAGCAACCUGCCUCCAAGUUCGGGAUAACCUUGCCAACGCGGGGCUAAUACCGGAUGUGGUCACGAAUCCGCAUGGUUUUGUGACUAAAGCUGACCUCUGCUUGCACGUUAGCGCUUGGAGAUGGGCUUGCGUGCCAUUAGCUUGUUGGUGGGGUAAUGGCCUACCAAGGCGACGAUGGGUAGCCGACCUGAGAGGGUGAUCGGCCACAUUGGGACUGAGAUACGGCCCAGACUCCUACGGGAGGCAGCAGUAGGGAAUUUUGCGCAGUGGACGAAGGUCUGACGCAGCGACGCCGCGUGAGCGAUGAAGGUCUUCGGAUUGUAAAGCCCUGUUGAGUGGGAAGAAAACCUUCGGGGACAAUACCCUCGGAGCUUGACGGUACCACUCGAGGAAGCCCCGGCUAACUACGUGCCAGCAGCCGCGGAAAUACGUAGGGGGCUAGCGUUGUUCGGAAUCACUGGGCGUAAAGGGAGUGUAGGCGGGAAGGUAAGUUAGGAGUUAAAUUCACAGGCUUAAACUGUGGCCUGCUCUUAAAUACUGCCUUUCUUGAGUAAUGGGAGAGGGUGAUGGAAUUCCAAGUGUAACUGGUGGAAUGCGUUAGAUAUUCUGGAAGAACAACCAGUUGCGAAAGGCGGUCACCUGGCCCAAUACGUACGCUGAAGCUCGAUAGCUAGGGGAGCCGAACAGGAAUUAGAUACCCUGGUAGUCCUAGCCGGUAAACGAUGGAUACUAGUUGCUGGAGGAAGUCAUCCUUUCCAGUGACGAAGUUUAACGCCUUAAGUAUCCCGCCUGGGGAGUACGCUCGCAAGGUGAAACUCAAAGGAAUUGACGGGGGCCCGCACAAGCGGUGGAGCAUGUGCUUUAAUUCGAUGCAACGCGAAGAACCUUACCUGGGUUUGACAUGGGAGUGAAAGGAUCCAGAGAUGGACCCCUUCCGCAAGGAACACUUCACACAGGUGCUGCAUGGUUGUCGUCAGCUCGUGUCGUGAGAUGUUGGGUUAAGUCCCGCAACGAGCGCAACCCCUGCCCUUAGUUGCCAUCAGGUAAAAGCUGGGAACUCUAAGGGGACCGCCUGUCGUAAACAGGAGGAAGGUGGGGAUGACGUCAAAUCAUCAUGGCCCUUACGCCCAGGGCUAGACACGUGCUACAAUGGUCGGUACAAUGGGAUGCGAACCUGCGAGGGCAAGCUAAUCCCAGAAAACCGGCCUCAGUCCGGAUUGGAGUCUGCAACUCGACUCCACGAAGUUGGAAUCGCUAGUAAUCGCGGAUCAGCAUGCCGCGGUGAAUACGUUCCCGGGCCUUGUACACACCGCCCGUCAAGCCAUGAAAGACGGUAGUGCCCGAAGUCGUGUGCCUAACCGCAAGGAGGGUAGCGCCGAAGGU